CGCCAACUAGCUAGCCCGCCCCCACAAAAGCAACAACCCACUAUAAAUAAACCCAAACACACGCACCCCCAAAAAACAAACCAUUUUACCUCCCUAGUACGGGCGACAGAAAAGGAAUUAUCGGAGCAAUAGAGAAAGUACCGCAAGGGAAUGCUGAAAGAGAAAUGAAAUAACCCAGUGAAGCUUAAAAAAGCAGAGAUUACACCUCGUACCUUUUGCAUCAUGAUUUAGCCAGUAAUACCCAAGCAAAGAGAACUUUAGUUUGAGCCCCCGAAACUACGUGAGCUACUCCAAGACAGCCUAUUAAUAGGGCAAACCCGUCUCUGUGGCAAAAGAGUGGGAAGAGCUUUGAGUAGAGGUGACAGACCUACCGAACCUAGUUAUAGCUGGUUGCCUGAGAAUUGGAUAGGAGUUCAGCCUCCAGGCUUCUCUCUUCACCGCGGUUUAACCCCUGCCGAUAUCUAAAAGAAGCCUAGAGAGUUAAUCAAAGGGGGUACAGCCCCUUUGAGACAAGAUACAACUUUUCCAGGAGGGUAAAGAUCAUAUUUACUCAAGGUAACAAUGCCCAGGUGGGCCUAAAAGCAGCCAUCCUGAUAGAAAGCGUUAAAGCUCAAGCAUUAUACUUCACCCACAUAUUUUGAUAACCAAGUCCCAACCCCCUAACAUUAUCAGGCCAUCUCAUGCAAACAUGAGAGUGCACAUGCUAAUAUGAGUAACAAGAGAGCACCCGCCUCUCUCCUAGCACACGUGUAAAUCGGAACGAACCCCCACCGAAACUUAACGGCCCCAAACAAAGAGGGUAAUGAACAACAAGUAAGCAACCAGAAAACCAUCCAAUAAACAACCGUUAACCCUACACUGGUGUGCCCCUAAGGAAAGACUAAAAGAAAAAGAAGGAACUCGGCAAACAUUCCAAGCCUCGCCUGUUUACCAAAAACAUCGCCUCUUGCAAAAACAAAGAAUAAGAGGUCCCGCCUGCCCUGUGACUAUAUGUUUAACGGCCGCGGUAUUUUAACCGUGCGAAGGUAGCGCAAUCACUUGUCUUUUAAAUGGAGACCUGUAUGAAUGGCAUUACGAGGGCUUAACUGUCUCCUUUUUCAAGUCAGUGAAAUUGAUCUCCCCGUGCAGAAGCGGGGAUACGCUUAUAAGACGAGAAGACCCUAUGGAGCUUUAGACACCAAGGCAUGUCAUGUUAAACACCCCUAAACAAAGAACUAAACCAAAUGAACUAUGCCCCUAUGUCUUUGGUUGGGGCGACCACGGGGAAAUACAAAACCCCCGAGCGGAACGGGAGUACGACCUCCUAAAGCCAAGAGCUGCAGCUCUAACAAGCAGAACUUCUGACCAAUAAGAUCCGGCAACGCCGAUCAACGGACCGAGUUACCCUAGGGAUAACAGCGCAAUCCCCUUUUAGAGCCCAUAUCGACAAGGGGGUUUACGACCUCGAUGUUGGAUCAGGACAUCCUAAUGGUGCAGCCGCUGUUAAGGGUUCGUUUGUUCAACGAUUAAAGUCCUACGUGAUCUGAGUUCAGACCGGAGUAAUCCAGGUCAGUUUCUAUCUAUAAAAUGUUCUUUUCUAGUACGAAAGGACCGAAAAGAAGAGGCCAAUACUCAAAGCACGCCUCACCCCUCCUGUUGAAAACAACUAAAAUAGGCAAAAGGGCAUAUCCCUUGUGCCUAAGAUAAUGGCAU
RNAcentral lists this ribosomal RNA (1692 nucleotides) under Scomberomorus cavalla (king mackerel). Its description in RNAcentral is "16S ribosomal RNA". It matches the Rfam family "Bacterial large subunit ribosomal RNA". Lineage: Eukaryota; Metazoa; Chordata; Actinopteri; Scombriformes; Scombridae. The record is from RNAcentral.